CUCCGCUUCCAUGUUUCCCUUUGCAGUCACUUUCACACUUGGUAAGGCUUCCACAGCAGCCCUCACAAAUUAUUUCAUCACACGAUCGUGCCUCUGUCACUUUUACUAGCCCUUCAUUUCCUAUGCCACACACACAUGCGUUAUUGAAUGAAUACCAGUUAUUAUUGUACAUAUUAAGACUUAUAAAAGGUUAGAAACUUGUUCAAAAUCAACAACUUUGUAAAACUAUAAAAUAUAAUAAAACUGAGUAUAUUCAACAUUUGCAAAGCAAAACAUACCAAUAGUAAGAGUAAGAACUAGCAGAACGAUUAAAACUGAAUUGAUAGUCUUCAUCUUUGAUUUCUGAACAUGUACCUACCUUCAGUUCUG
Molecule: long non-coding RNA, 369 nt
Filed under: Lupinus angustifolius (narrow-leaved blue lupine)
Lineage: Eukaryota; Viridiplantae; Streptophyta; Magnoliopsida; Fabales; Fabaceae
Description: long non-coding RNA (LANG_LNC000640)
Source: RNAcentral